AGGAAAACAACAGGCGAAUAUCCGUUGAAUAUCCAACCUGAAACUGCCUUUACCUCGGUAAGAUAUACUUACCAAGGCUCUGGCUAUCUGACGAGAAAUACCCCGCCUUUCAGACGGGCUUUAGGGCUUCUGGAGUGGGGGAAUAAUUUGGUUGUGCUGGAGAACCUCCAGCAGCUCAAAGUACCUGAAAAGGGAAUCCCGGGGCCAGGUGACCUUCUCGUCCUCCUCCUGCUCCUGCAUCACCUUCAUAUUCUCCUCCACGUAAGACUCCCAGUCUAACAGAGAGGGGUAAUACGAGUUCAUUAGGGCAUGAAACAGAAAAAUGCUGUAAAACUGUUUGCAGCAGAAAACGAGUCCAGGGAUACCCUCUCUGUUUCAGUUUGUUUCAAGUUUGGUGCCUUUAUGAUGGCCCAGAUGGCCCAGACUACUCUUUUAGAGUGCAUCAUAGUAAUGAGAUCUCAGUGUCCAGGGCAUGUUGGUAUGUUCACUGUAAUUCUUAACAGAAUUGAUGUACUGUACCAAAUAUCAUCACAAACUCCAAAUGUACUCCCUAUGAUUUAUUGGGUAUCACCAACAUUUUGACACAAAUUUGGUUCUUUGGAAGUUGUGGGAAUGUGUGUUUUUGGUUUCAGAUUGGUUUCCAGGAACCGAGCCCUAAGUUUUCUGACGGGUAAAACUGAAAGUUUAAAAAAAAAAUAUUCCAGACUGUUAUGGGAACAUUAAUUUUUUUGGUUGCAGGGAGAUUCUGAGAACAUUUCACUCGAGUUUCUGGGAGGUUUUAUUAACUCUCUGAGAAUGGAAAUGAUAGUUUAUUUGAAGGUAAUUAAAAAACAUUCUCUAAAUGUCAUGAAAGUUUUGUUAAGUUAUUAGUGAAAGUUUGCCAACAAUCACAGUAGGUGUGAUCUUGCACACACUUAACAAGCUGGAGGAUUAGAGAGUUUUGUUGAUGCUGAGAAUGUAAUGUAUAUGUAAAUAACAUUCUUAGAGCGUUCUCUGAAAGUUACUUAAGUUUCUGUAUUUUUUCUGGAAAGUUUUCUUCAUGUUCUGAGAACAGAAUUUAGAGCUUAUUGAUGGUAAUGUUUUUCGUAACAUUUAGAAUUCCAUUUUUGUUUACAACAUUCCCAGAAUAUUACCAAGAACGGACAUAAAAGAGAACCAUACACUCUCGGAAAGUUCUGAGAAAAUUGCUUAAGUUACACCGUUUUUGAGAAUGUUCCCAGAAUGUAGUCAAAAUAUUGCAUUAAAUAGAACCACAUGGGAACUUGUGCAGAAUGUUCUGUACUGAAAUUCCCACAGAAGACCGUUGUUUCUUAACAUUGUCUGAACAAUUUGAGAACAUUCCCAAUGUCAAACCAUUUAGAGAACGUUCUUCAAAUAUUAUCCAAAUGUAAUUAAAUGUAACCAUGUGUUAACUUUUAGGAAUCGUUCUGUUAAAGUAAUGAAAGAGUUUUUUUUGUCAAGUUCCUUAAAUGUGCUGAGGAUGUUCCAAAGCCAAGCAACUAUCCUGCACCAUUCACAAAACGCUGUGGGGAAGUUGUAUGCAAAAUAACCAUAGGACAACCUCUAACCUCUCAGCUCUAAGAAACGUAGGGUUCUUAGAAUGUUCUUUGUUCUGUGACAAAAUAAAUUGCUCUUUUGUCUCAUUGCAGGAUCGCAAAGAAAUAGUCCCUAUUCAAAGUAUGAUGAGUUUAUUACGGUGUCCCAAUGGUGGUUAGGUUUGAAAAUAACCCACUGUCACGCCCUGACCUUAGAGAUCCUUUUUAUGUCUCUAUUUUGGUUUGGUCAGGGCGUGAGUUGGGGUGGGCACUCUAUGUUUUGGCCAGGUAUGGUUCUCAAUCAGGGACAGCUGUCUAUCAUUGUCUCUGAUUGGGAACCAUACUUAGGUACCCCUUUUCCCACCUGUGUUUGUGGCAAGUUGUCUUUGUUUGCGGGCGCUAGUGCCUUUAGCAGCACAGUUUGUUUUGUAUGGUUUAUUUUUUUGUUUUUGUUGGCGUCAUUCUUUAAUAAAGUAAUAUGUACGCUGCA
Oncorhynchus keta (chum salmon) is the source of this 2025-nucleotide long non-coding RNA. RefSeq lists it as uncharacterized. The record is from RefSeq and is a predicted model, not a curated record. Lineage: Eukaryota; Metazoa; Chordata; Actinopteri; Salmoniformes; Salmonidae. The transcript has 2 exons.